GGUUACAUUUUUUAAUGUUGAUCCACUAGGAAAUCAUUGGUGUCGUUAUGGCAUUGAUAGCCUGACAACUGGACAUUUAUUAAGGUUUAGUACAUACAACACACAGCACCCUAAACUUCGCAGAUAUCAGCCAGUAACAAACAAGACGCACAGGUCAAGACAGGCAAUUUAUGAUAUACAAAAAAAAAUCUGAGAGUGGGUUGGGGAUACAGCGGGCUCUGUUUGAAUUGUCAACGCUUUUACACGCAGGGGGACAGCACGUGUAGGAGACGCGGUCUGCAACCCAGCCGGUCCUGGCUUGGGGGCCGGCGCUCGGAAGAUGGCUGACGGCUUCGCUACUGCCAACGGAGAGCGCAGCUGACAGGUGAGCGGAACACGCGGAUGCAUGUCCCAGCAGGACGAUGGUCUCGGCCCGCCGCGUGGAUCCGUGACCCCCCGUCCUGCGGCCGGAGCCCGGGGUGAGCCGGCUGUGCCUGCGCCAGGUGUGACAGGAAAUCCCCGGGCGUAAUUGGAUCGUCAAACCGCUGCAUCCCCAAGAAGUCGGCUCCGGUCGCAGUCACCAGUCUUUUUUAACCUCGUCCUCUCUGCGUUUCAAGGAUUUCAUUGGAUGUGCUUUGCUGCAGAAUCAUGGAUGGAAGCAUGGUAGCAGCCUUGGAGAAACUCUGCAGGGGUGCGAUCAGCCUAUCCCAGUUUCCUUAGGCAUGACACAAAGGAUUUAGGGAGAAUGGAAAUGCAGGUCGAUUAUGCAAGUGAUGCUGCAGAAAAAACAAUAGCAGCAGAAAGGAAGCGAUCAAAACAGCAGAAAGAAUACUACAAGG
Hypanus sabinus (Atlantic stingray) is the source of this 818-nucleotide long non-coding RNA. RefSeq lists it as uncharacterized. NCBI's taxonomy places the organism in Eukaryota, Metazoa, Chordata, Chondrichthyes, Myliobatiformes, Dasyatidae. The record is from RefSeq and is a predicted model, not a curated record. The transcript has 4 exons.